RNAcentral lists this ribosomal RNA (438 nucleotides) under Triticum aestivum (bread wheat). RNAcentral's name for it is "partial small subunit ribosomal RNA". The record is from RNAcentral. Lineage: Eukaryota; Viridiplantae; Streptophyta; Magnoliopsida; Poales; Poaceae.
AUGAAGAUGACCACGGCCCUGGCUACUUGGAGAGCCGCGGUGAAGAGAAGGAUUCUAAGUGGUGAUAGUUAUGAGAAGAUCAAGGAGACAAAUCCUUCGAUCGGCGAAGCUGACUACCUGGAGUUCAAGAUCAAGUGCGAGAGCAACGCAUCCGCGGAAUCAAGUCAGUGGUGGAAAGAUAUGCGGGACUUGAACUUAGGACACCACACACUCGGUCCCGGCGGUUACAGAGUGGCGGAACCUAUAUGGGACAAGGAGGACGCGGAGCGUAACGAGCAAGGCCUACAGCCCCUCUUCGAUAAAUACCAUGACAAGCAGACCAGGAACUAUGUCAGGGCCAGGUACAAGGUGGACCCGGAAACAAAGGAGCUUACCACGGAUCCGAAGACCAAGGCGCUUGAGCUUGUUCUGGUAAGGAAUACACCCCCGCGUAAUUAG